UUGACAUAAAAGGAAGGUACAAAUUACAACCAAAAAGGCAGGUUCGGAAAGUUCAACAAAAGUAACCUGCUAUCAAGCUAUAAGCCUGAAAAGGAUAAAUAAUGAGAGGGUGAGUUCAACAACUCAGUGAGUAGAUAACGUUCAAUAUACAUACACGAGGUAAUAUAGCAAUGAGAAAUAUAUAUACAAGUAUGGCUUUAGUUCUUAUACGAAGGUUUAUCAAAUAGGCCAUAACAAGAAUAUCAUAUGGUAAAACUCGUCAGAAAAUCAAAAUGCAAUGAGCAUGAGGCUCCGUACUGUUGGAUGAUCAGUCCACACAGGUUGGUGACUCCCCCCGACCAACUAGGGUUCAGAUACGAUGUGCACAAAGACUAACACUACCCUGUUAGCAUGGGUAUUCUGACUGACAUACCAUAGGUUCAUAAUCAUAAUCAAACAAACAUAUUCAUAUCUCAAAGCUCAACUCAUGACAUCCAUCAAAUGAGGAGCUAUCAAUUCAGAAGUCAAAUCAUAUUGGUUCAUAUCAAGAAAUCAGAUUCAAUAAUUGAUCAUGCUUUAUCAUAUCAAGGAUAAUAAUCAGCAUAUAUAUUAUCAAGAAGCAUGAUCCAAUUCAUAUUAACAAAUCAAAUAUUUAUAAUAUUUCUCAUGCAUAUGGAAAAUUAUCCACUCACCUGACUCAAAAGCAAACAACACACACAAGCUGAAACCGAAGGAAAUUCUACUGACGUCCUGCCGGUAGAAUAUCAGGAUUAUCUGAAUACAAAGGAGACAUAUUCAAAAACGACUCGAAAGAACAUUUAACUAUUUAAUACACUUAACUAAGGGUGUAUUCCGUAACCCUAUAUAUUAACUAGUCAAUUUUCUUAAAAACCCAAAAUCUAACGGUUUUCCCGAAAUCUAAUCCAUAAUAAAAACAACUAAUAAAAUUGGUAAUAAUUCACUAAAUAACCCUUAAUUAUUCAUCAAACUAAUCUGCAAAAGCUAAUAUUACAGCUAGGGACUAAUCUGGAAUUUUUCUAUUUUUAGGGCCAAAUUGUAACUUUUUCAAAUGGAGGACCAAACUGAAAUUUGUCAUAAAUCCAUGAAUAUACUGAAAUUCUGACCUUAAUUAAUCCUCAAUUCUGUCCAGGAUGUAUCAUUAUGCUUCAGGGAUCAUUCUGGAAUUUUACUAAAUUUUUAGGGUCAAAUCGUACUUUUUGUCAAAUUGAAGGACUAAAUUGAAAGUGUUAAAUUAUCUUAUCUAUACAGUAAUUAUGUCCAUAAUUUAAAUGCUAUUCUGUUCAGAAUCUCGGAAUAUGCUCCAGGGACCAAUUUGUAAUUUUCCAAAGUUCGGGGACUAAACUGUAAUUUUCGGAAAUUGAGGGACCAAAUUGAAUUUUCGUCAUCUUCAACCUCCAGUCCAGAUUUUAACAGAAACCCCACUGUUCUCCCCUGAUUUCUAACUCAAUUUUCACCAUUUACACAAUUCUAUAACUCAAAAUCAUCAUAAUCUUCCAUAAUCAACUAAAUCAUCAAUUAAACACAACAAUCAACCCCUAACCUUCAAUUUAAUUCAUCAAUUUAAAUCAAACACAAAUUCUCAAAACCCUAACAUUCAUAAAAACUGAAAUUAAAGCUUAAUUAACUUAUUAUACACAUUAAACAACCUAAAUCUUACCUUUUUCACUUAUUUCCUUCAAAUCUCUUCCUUUUCCCCUUAUUUUCCCUUCUUUUCUCUUCUUCUUCUUUCUCCCUUCUCUCUCACGGUUUACUC
RNAcentral lists this long non-coding RNA (1753 nucleotides) under Populus tremula. Its description in RNAcentral is "long non-coding RNA (PTRE_LNC000038)". Lineage: Eukaryota; Viridiplantae; Streptophyta; Magnoliopsida; Malpighiales; Salicaceae. The record is from RNAcentral.